GUCUAAUUAGUUUAUUAAAAAUGUUUAAUUGUGGAUUAAGAGAGGUGAUUCAUUAGAUA
Molecule: transfer RNA, 59 nt
Filed under: Alectorobius peropteryx
Lineage: Eukaryota; Metazoa; Arthropoda; Arachnida; Ixodida; Argasidae
Description: tRNA-His
Source: RNAcentral